This 1433-nucleotide long non-coding RNA is filed under the name Parus major (Great Tit). RNAcentral describes it as "lncRNA (ENSPMJG00000003818.1)". Lineage: Eukaryota; Metazoa; Chordata; Aves; Passeriformes; Paridae. The record is from RNAcentral.
GCCACUGCUGUCCCAUCCCACCAUGGAAUGCAGAGCAGGUGGGUGUCACUUACCUUGCUACAGGCUGUAAGGUUGCUCUGGGUGGUGUUCUUCUCUACCUCAGCCACUUCAUGCCCAUAUGCUUUAAAAAUGUAUCACACUGCAUGAAACUAUUAAGAUUUGAAAAAAACUACGCAGUAGAUUGAGACUAAUCACUGUAUUCUUUCCUUUUGGUUUCCUCUUUUCAUCUGAACGCAGAUAUCAACAGGUUUGCAAUCUUCCUCUUCUGUUUACUGGUUCCUUUGGCCUCCAUGGCACCGACAGAGACAUCAAAAAGCAAAGUGACUACAGGACAGAGGCAGAAUCAUUUCACUACGGAAAUACCGACCUUGGCCAUAGUAAUACAACAGAAAGCUCACGAGCUGUUUGAAUUCUAUCACAAGUGUAUCUCUGCAGCGUUCCACCCUGAGCCCUGGAGGGUUAUGUCCAAAGCCAGAGCCAUGGCAGACAGAAUACCCAAAUGUGCAGCUUUCCAGGCAAGCUGCUGUGCUUUGCACCACAUCCACAACACUCUGCAAACCCUGAGAGGGGACAUAGAAACCAUCUGCACCGAGAGCUCCAAUGACGUGGUCAAGGCCAACCUCAACCAGCUGAACACCACGCUGAGCCAAGGCACUGCCUUCUACACCUGCAGCAGCCAGGACCUGCCCCAGGUGUAUCCCCAGGGCCAGACCAUGAGCCUGGCAGACAAAAAAACCUACAUCUGGUGGGUUUUAAAGAAAUAUGAGGACAUCAUGCAGCUUACGGGAAACCUGUAUUCUGAAGCAGCAGUUUGAUAGGCCAGGAUGAAAAAAAUAACUUGAAGAUGCUGGAGAGGUGGUUAAAUGAGAUUUGUCAGGGGUUAUGGGAUCAGUUUGAUACCAGGAUAAACAUUGAUAAUGUAUGGCUAGUCUCUAUAACUAUAUCAUCUAGUUUAAUUUAAUAUUUAAAGGAUUAAUGUGGUAAAUUAUUGAUUGUAUUUAUUAUAAAAUUAUUUAUGCUGUCUUAUUUGCAAGAGCACAUAACAAGGAUGGACUAACAUCCUAAGGUAAUUUAAUUAACCAACCCUGACAUAUAUAAACAAUCAGGAAAGUGUAAUUUCAGUAAUUUUAAUGUUAUUUAUAUUUUUAUCUUGCAGUUAUUUUUCAAAAGAAAAGUUGAUUGUCAGCAGGCUGAUUUUGUACUUCUCUACUAGUGGAUUUUAUUUAUGAAUUUAUACAACACAUCUAUUUUUAUAAAUCUAUUUAAGAAAUUAGUUUAUAUAUUUAUUUAUUCAUAUUUUAAACUCAUUUUAAUACUGAAAGGGAUCUAUUUGCUAUUUAGUAGAUGAAUGAUUUUACUCAUUUCCUGUUACCACCUUUGGAUAGAAACUGAAACUUAAUAAAAUAUUAAAUAAAACAAGUAUUUCUGGAUUC